This 74-nucleotide transfer RNA is filed under the name Pleurocapsa minor GSE-CHR-MK 17-07R. RNAcentral describes it as "Pleurocapsa minor GSE-CHR-MK-17-07R (algae metagenome) tRNA-Pro". It matches the Rfam family "tRNA". Rfam says of the family: Transfer RNA (tRNA) molecules are approximately 80 nucleotides in length. Their secondary structure includes four short double-helical elements and three loops (D, anti-codon, and T loops). Further hydrogen bonds mediate the characteristic L-shaped molecular structure. tRNAs have two regions of fundamental functional importance: the anti-codon, which is responsible for specific mRNA codon recognition, and the 3' end, to which the tRNAs corresponding amino acid is attached (by aminoacyl-tRNA synthetases). tRNAs cope with the degeneracy of the genetic code in two manners: having more than one tRNA (with a specific anti-codon) for a particular amino acid; and 'wobble' base-pairing, i.e. permitting non-standard base-pairing at the 3rd anti-codon position. Lineage: Bacteria; Bacillati; Cyanobacteriota; Cyanophyceae; Pleurocapsales; Pleurocapsaceae. The record is from RNAcentral. RNAcentral also lists the same sequence under 1 other name.
CGGGGCAUAGCGCAAUUUGGCAGCGCGCCGCGUUUGGGACGCGGAGGUUCUCGGUUCAAGUCCGGGUGCCCCGA